Molecule: ribosomal RNA, 590 nt
Filed under: uncultured bacterium
Lineage: Bacteria
Description: partial 16S ribosomal RNA
Rfam family: Bacterial small subunit ribosomal RNA
Source: RNAcentral
UGGGGAAUAUUGCACAAUGGGCGCAAGCCUGAUGCAGCCAUGCCGCGUGUGUGAAGAAGGCCUUCGGGUUGUAAAGCACUUUCAGCGAGGAGGAAGGUGGUGAACUUAAUACGUUCAUCAAUUGACGUUACUCGCAGAAGAAGCACCGGCUAACUCCGUGCCAGCAGCCGCGGUAAUACGGAGGGUGCAAGCGUUAAUCGGAAUUACUGGGCGUAAAGCGCACGCAGGCGGUUUGUUAAGUCAGAUGUGAAAUCCCCGGGCUCAACCUGGGAACUGCAUUUGAAACUGGCAAGCUAGAGUCUCGUAGAGGGGGGUAGAAUUCCAGGUGUAGCGGUGAAAUGCGUAGAGAUCUGGAGGAAUACCAGUGGCGAAGGCGGCCCCCUGGACGAAGACUGACGCUCAGGUGCGAAAGCGUGGGGAGCAAAACAGGAUUAGAUACCCUGGUAGUCCACGCUGUAAAACGAUGUCGAUUUUGGAGGUUGUGCCCUUGAGGCGUGGCUUCCGGAGCUAACGCGUUAAAUCGACCGCCUGGGGAGUACGGCCGCAAGGUUAAAACUCAAAGGAAUUGACGGGGUCAUAGCUGUUUCCUG